Molecule: RNA transcript, 4100 nt
Organism: Mercenaria mercenaria
Lineage: Eukaryota; Metazoa; Mollusca; Bivalvia; Venerida; Veneridae
Exons: 3
Source: RefSeq, a predicted model, not a curated record
UCCAUACUUAUUUCAUAAAUAUUUCAAGCAAACUAUUUAUAUAUAUAAGCCUACUUCCUGUUUUUGUUUUUACGAAACAGAUUAAAAAAAAUACCCGAGCUUUUGUUUCUGUUUCGUUUUGUUUACUCUUUGUUUUCAACAUGUUAUUCUGUUACAGAGCGUUCGGAUAUCUGGUUGCAACUUAUUUGGUUGUUCAGUUCGGGACUACCACAUUGCACGUGUAUCACGUGUGUCUUGAAAAUGACAUACUUUCAGACUAUAAGCCGGAACCCGGGCUAAAAAUUCCCGGUUACGUACAGCUGCUGUUUAUUGACGGGAGAACGGAUGAUGUGCAGACUUUAGUCACCAGUGCCCAUCAAGUUUGUGAAAGCUUUUACAAAACCAUUGUUCUAGAAGGAAGCGAAAUCCACCAUUUUAGUUCUGUUUUAUCUAAAACAAGAAGAGCGUACCAUGUCAACGGCUUGACAAUUGACAAACUGGCUAAAAAAGUUAGACCACAGUUCAGAAAAUUACACGAAAACAUAAUAUUCUUUGAGAGAGAAAUUCUGGCAUUUGUUUUCUACUACAAAAGAACUUACGAAAAUAGUUACGGAACUGAUAUUGGAAUCAAAAGAGAAUUCAAAAUUUAUGAUGAAUUCUUAAGACAAAGGCGGAAAUUCGCCUAUGGACUUGAGAGAAAAGCUCAGGAUUUCAGGGAUAAAGCGAGGCAGCUGGAUAAUGACGCUUCGUCUGCAGUAGCAAUAUCUUUUUUUUGCAUCGCUUACUGUAUUAUAGGCCUAGGGUCUGUAUUUGCGAAAGGAAGAUUGCGAUACUUUUUACUUUGUGUUAUGAUAUUUGUAGCAUUCUGUGGUUCGUUUUUUACAAUAGAUUUCUGGAAACGAGCUGCAGAAUUCCGCGUGAAAGCCGACAGGACAGAUGCUGAGUUCCAUGACCUUCUGAAAGAAGUCAGAACAUAUCAGGAUUACGUCUUCAAAUCAAGAAACGUGACCAUUUCUAAUUUUCUGAAAGCAGCAGACGACAAACAAGUGAAAGAAACCCUUAUUAUACUGAGAAUUUUCACUGAAGUCAUGAAAAGUCUUCAAUGGAUUGACAUAAAAUUGCAGAGGUUGGCGUCACUGGCGGAGACACUGGAAAUGAACAGAGAUUUGAUAGAAAAAACAGAUAUGUUAGAGCAGAAGUCGCGUCCUAUCAUGCAUGAACUGAGAUCAACACUUGAAAAUAUCACCGGAAACAUUGACAGAAUAUUUCACAUUUUGAAAUAGAAUAUUCUAAUACAUUCAGGUCUUCGCUCCGAUCUCCUUAUUGAUUUAUGUGAUAAAAAGUUUUUGUUUAUUGUGAUAAUUAUAUAUUCUCAUGAUUUAAAUGUUUAUAAAUAAUGUUUUGCUCAAAGAAAAGUCAAGAUUUUCAAUCAAAUAAUAGAUUUUUAGGUCUAAUAAUACUCAGGUCCAUUUCUUCUCAAGAAAAAAGUCUUACCCUUUCCUAAAGUAGAAAAGCUAAUAACAUACAUUUAUUGCUGUUGUCGAAGUUGUUGUUGUUAUGUUUUGUCAUGAUCGAAUUCGGUUUUGAGUUGCUUUUAUCAUAAUUUAUAAACUCUUUAAAAAAGUAUUCCAUAUUGCAGCAUUAUAUAGAUUUAUCUAGAUCUAAUAUAUUAAAGUUAUUCCAACUGUUUUCUCAAGUUAUCUCUACUGUACAUAUAAUUGUGCAAUCAAGAGUUAUUCCCCUUUACUACCCUUACGCCAUUACAUAUGGUAACAAGCAGACAGCAAAUUUUGAUAAUUUGUCAACAUUUUCCAGGCAGUUCCUGUUAUAUAGAAAAUGCCUGGCCACAGCAAAUUUCUCACUGGGCCAUCAGCUCCCAAGAAAAGUCGUUAUGUCUUCAUGUCUUCGCUAGGACAGAAAACAGACAGUGAUGUUGAUAGCCUUGAGUCUCUUCUAUCUAGUCCUCGGCGAGGCAAGAGUAAGUCACGCCCAAGAUUUCAGGAUGAUUUCCAAACAUGUGACUGCUCAGGCUGCACCGGAAUACCAUCAGACUCGAGUGAUGCCGAAUCGGAUGAAGAUCCAGCCGUUAUUAGAAUCGUAUUAGAGAGUGACUCUGAAUCUUUUGGUUCCAAUGGGAAAUUUGAAGGUAUAGAACGGCAGUAUGAAAACAACGUAGAUGAUGACAUUAAGAAUAUUGGUCAGUCAGUGUUAGACCAUUUUCACUGUGAAGUUGUUUUAGAUGACGGGGUAUGUGAGAUGCAUCGUCCGGGUUGCAGAUACUGCAGAUGCCUUGCUGACUGUCCACGUUGGAAAGAUCCAGAUGUUUGUCCUCUCCAGUGGAAAGAGCUGUUCGAGGAAAAAGUCAACGAUCCAAAGGACUACCACCAGAUCAUGAAGUAUUCCAAACUGUACCAUACAAUAUACUCUGAGGGUACCGCUAUGUACCUAUACACGGAUGAGGUCAUGGCCAUGUGCAGGACGCACAAAAACCACCUUUGUUUAGACAGAACAUUUAAUAUUGGUCCCAGUUACGUCGUUAUGUUCAUGUUCAGAAACAAGAACCUCUACAUCAAGGCUGACAAGAAUAAGCGCUCCCCGUUGAUGUUAGGUCCAGUCUUGCUCCACUUCGACUUAAGUUCAGACGCAACAUUUAUACCGUUCUUUGAUCACAUCAAACGCUUGUGUGGCAUCACCACGGAGGAAAAAACACCGAAGGAGUUUGACCAGAAGUCGUUAAAAGGUAUUCCCAUGAAACAGAGGUCUUUGUACGAAGGAAUAAGACAGUCGUUUGGUGACAGUGUGAAUUUCUGUGAGCGCAACAAUCUCCCACGUCUGCUGCACGGUAAAAUGAAGAAAGAAGUCACGUGCUACUCAAAGCUGAAGGAUCUGAUCAAAGUUCUGUACGAACAAUAUGAAGAAGACAAGAAACACGUGAUGGAUGCGCUUAUUGGCCGGGGAAAGUGGCGUCUCACCGAGCAUGCGCAGGAAGUAAUGAAGAACUCCGGAAGCGGAAAUACAUUAAAAGACUUUGCAGCUAUUGAACUUGCGGAAGGUGUGCUAUAAAAGAAUGAAUGAAAAACUGUUUCGUUGACAUUGAUGCAUUAUUCUUGAAUAUCCAAAGCUAUGAUUUGGACAGAAAUUCUAAAAGCUGCUAUGUUAGAAAUUACAGAUGAUUCGUGCCUCGUUUGAAUGUUUAGUUCAACUGUUUGUUCUUGUUGUUGGGUUGAAAAUGAAAAAUGAAAGUCUUAGAUUUAAAAGUAAUUAUACGUACAUUUUUCUAUUUUUCAGUGUUUAAUAGAGUUUAAGUGCACCUGUCUUUUGACUUUAGGAGAAGUCUUUUCUCUGUUCAUUAUUAAAACAUUUUAUUCAUCAUGGUGAAAAUGCGGAGGCUGAAUGUUAUGCUCCUUGCAUGUGUUUAUCAUGUAUAUGUAUCAUGUCGUUGUUUUUGAGAUUAUGAAUUUUAAGUGAAAAAAAAAUAGUAGAAAGAAAUUCAGAUAUUUAAAAGUGUUUUUGAUGAAGGCGUAUAGUGGAAUCAUUAAAGAAAAGGUAGAAUUUCAGAAGACUUUAUGAGCCCAGAAACGUAUAUUCAUUUAACAGGGCAUGUCACGUGAUGUGUUAAUGUUUUCUCUGGUAAUGUUUAAAAUUGACGGAAUAAGUAUAGAGAUCUAUAAUUGUAUGAAUUUCCAAGGAUUUUUUUAUAAAAAAUAACUGUAUUUUUUAGGUUUAAUUAUCAUUGAUCAGGUCAUAAUGUCACUUGUUAUAAGUUGAAUCCUACAUGUUUGGCAUAAUUAUAUAUUCCUUCAAGGUUUUUAACAGAACUGAGAUGAAAUUUUUGAAAUGCAAUGUUUACAAAUAGUUUAUGUUAAGAAGUUUUAUGCGUAGUCUUAAUUUAAAAAAAAGACACGCACCGAAAAUGUGAUUUACAUGAAGAACAUUUCAACGUGACCAGACUUAAACAAGCAAAAUUCAUGCCAUGUAAGUUUCUAUUUAGCUAAAUUGCCAUCCAGUUGCUGUUUUUCUGUUAGUUUGUCAUUGAAAAUAACAUGUUGUUAUGUUUACUUUUAAAUUGUUGUGAAAGCUACCUUACAGUUCAUUUAGCUAAUAAACUGAUUAAAAUGUUA